Molecule: ribosomal RNA, 337 nt
Filed under: Clostridioides difficile
Lineage: Bacteria; Bacillati; Bacillota; Clostridia; Peptostreptococcales; Peptostreptococcaceae
Description: bacterial SSU rRNA
Rfam family: Bacterial small subunit ribosomal RNA
Source: RNAcentral
UUUUAUUUGAGAGUUUGAUCCUGGCUCAGGAUGAACGCUGGCGGCGUGCCUAACACAUGCAAGUUGAGCGAUUUACUUCGGUAAAGAGCGGCGGACGGGUGAGUAACGCGUGGGUAACCUACCCUGUACACACGGAUAACAUACCGAAAGGUAUGCUAAUACGGGAUAAUAUAUUUGAGAGGCAUCUCUUGAAUAUCAAAGGUGAGCCAGUACAGGAUGGACCCGCGUCUGAUUAGCUAGUUGGUAAGGUAACGGCUUACCAAGGCGACGAUCAGUAGCCGACCUGAGAGGGUGAUCGGCCACAUUGGAACUGAGACACGGUCCAAACUCCUACGGG